RNAcentral lists this ribosomal RNA (253 nucleotides) under uncultured bacterium. RNAcentral's name for it is "partial 16S ribosomal RNA". It matches the Rfam family "Bacterial small subunit ribosomal RNA", at positions 524 to 776 of the family's 1533-position model. The record is from RNAcentral.
UACGUAGGGUGCAAGCGUUAAUCGGAUUUACUGGGCGUAAAGCGUGUGUAGGCGGCUUGGCAAGUUGGAUGUGAAAGCCCACGGCUCAACCGUGGAAGCGCAUCCAAAACUGCUUCGCUCGAGUCUCGGAGAGGAAGGUGGAAUGCUUGGUGUAGAGGUGAAAUUCGUAGAUAUCAAGCAGAACACCUGCGGCGAAGGCGGCCUUCUGGACGAUGACUGACGCUGAGACACGAAAGCGUGGGGAGCAAACAGG